RNAcentral lists this ribosomal RNA (253 nucleotides) under uncultured bacterium. RNAcentral's name for it is "partial 16S ribosomal RNA". It matches the Rfam family "Bacterial small subunit ribosomal RNA", at positions 524 to 776 of the family's 1533-position model. The record is from RNAcentral.
UACAGGGGGGGCAAGCGUUGUCCGGAUUUAUUGGGUUUAAAGGGUGCGUAGGCGGCCCUGUAAGUCAGUGCUGAAAUAUCCCGGCUUAACCGGGAGGGUGGCAUUGAUACUGCGGGGCUAGAGUACAGAUGAGGUAGGCGGAAUUGACGGUGUAGCGGUGAAAUGCUUAGAUAUCGUCAAGAACACCUAUAGCGAAGGCAGCUUACUAGGCUGUAACUGACGCUGAGGCACGAAAGUGUGGGGAUCAAACAGG